Molecule: non-coding RNA, 421 nt
Organism: Cinara cedri
Lineage: Eukaryota; Metazoa; Arthropoda; Insecta; Hemiptera; Aphididae
Source: the annotation of a GenBank genome assembly
AGUGGUUAUAAUUAAUAUUGUCAACUGUGGUGCGGGAAUAACCAGUUUUCGCCGUAUGCCACGAACUGUAUAAUAAUGGCGUUAACCAUACAAUUAAAAUAAUACGCAUAUUUAUAAUUGUUUAAUCAUAACUAAUAAGUAAUCAGUACAUUUCCUUGUUAAUCUUAGACGACCAAAUACUGAGGUAAUUAUAAUAUUUAGACAUUUAGACGGGGCGCACAUCAAGACCAAAGUUGUACAGUUGCAGUGUGAAUAACUGCCAGAUUAUUGCAGUGCAUCCUUAAACUUAGUCGCAUAAUUUUGUAUAGGUUACCUAUAGGCACUACAUAUUCUGGUAACGGUAAAGUUUUGCAGCUGGUGCUGCAGUUUCCGAUCUAAUCAGAUCUUUCCAAGACCGAGGCACGGCUGUAGCUAAUUUGGU